GCUACAGGCUUAACACAUGCAAGUCGAGGGGCAGCAUGGUCUUAGCUUGCUAAGGCCGAUGGCGACCGGCGCACGGGUGAGUAACACGUAUCCAACCUGCCGUCUACUCUUGGACAGCCUUCUGAAAGGAAGAUUAAUACAAGAUGGCAUCAUGAGUCCGCAUGUUCACAUGAUUAAAGGUAUUCCGGUAGACGAUGGGGAUGCGUUCCAUUAGAUAGUAGGCGGGGUAACGGCCCACCUAGUCUUCGAUGGAUAGGGGUUCUGAGAGGAAGGUCCCCCACAUUGGAACUGAGACACGGUCCAAACUCCUACGGGAGGCAGCAGUGAGGAGUAUUGGUCAAUGGGCGAGAGCCUGAACCAGCCAAGUAGCGUGAAGGAUGACUGCCCUAUGGGUUGUAAACUUCUUUUAUAAAGGAAUAAAGUCGGGUAUGGAUACCCGUUUGCAUGUACUUUAUGAAUAAGGAUCGGCUAACUCCGUGCCAGCAGCCGCGGUAAUACGGAGGAUCCGAGCGUUAUCCGGAUUUAUUGGGUUUAAAGGGAGCGUAGAUGGAUGUUUAAGUCAGUUGUGAAAGUUUGCGGCUCAACCGUAAAAUUGCAGUUGAUACUGGAUAUCUUGAGUGCAGUUGAGGCAGGCGGAAUUCGUGGUGUAGCGGUGAAAUGCUUAGAUAUCACGAAGAACUCCGAUUGCGAAGGCAGCCUGCUAAGCUGCAACUGACAUUGAGGCUCGAAAGUGUGGGUAUCAAACAGGAUUAGAUACCCUGGUAGUCCACACGGUAAACGAUGAAUACUCGCUGUUUGCGAUAUACUGCAAGCGGCCAAGCGAAAGCGUUAAGUAUUCCACCUGGGGAGUACGCCGGCAACGGUGAAACUCAAAGGAAUUGACGGGGGCCCGCACAAGCGGAGGAACAUGUGGUUUAAUUCGAUGAUACGCGAGGAACCUUACCCGGGCUUAAAUUGCAGAUGAAUUACGGUGAAAGCCGUAAGCCGCAAGGCAUCUGUGAAGGUGCUGCAUGGUUGUCGUCAGCUCGUGCCGUGAGGUGUCGGCUUAAGUGCCAUAACGAGCGCAGCCCUUGUUGUCAGUUACUAACAGGUUCCGCUGAGGACUCUGACAAGACUGCCAUCGUAAGAUGUGAGGAAGGUGGGGAUGACGUCAAAUCAGCACGGCCCUUACGUCCGGGGCUACACACGUGUUACAAUGGGGGGUACAGAGGGCCGCUACCACGCGAGUGGAUGCCAAUCCCCAAAACCUCUCUCAGUUCGGACUGGAGUCUGCAACCCGACUCCACGAAGCUGGAUUCGCUAGUAAUCGCGCAUCAGCCACGGCGCGGUGAAUACGUUCCCGGGCCUUGUACACACCGCCCGUCAAGCCAUGGGAGCCGGGGGUACCUGAAGUGCGUAACCGCGAGGAGCGCCCUAGGGUAAAACUGGUGACUGGGGCUAAGUCAUAAC
RNAcentral lists this ribosomal RNA (1449 nucleotides) under uncultured organism. RNAcentral's name for it is "SSU rRNA". It matches the Rfam family "Bacterial small subunit ribosomal RNA". The record is from RNAcentral.